RNAcentral lists this long non-coding RNA (934 nucleotides) under Lactuca sativa (garden lettuce). Its description in RNAcentral is "long non-coding RNA (LSAT_LNC002472)". Lineage: Eukaryota; Viridiplantae; Streptophyta; Magnoliopsida; Asterales; Asteraceae. The record is from RNAcentral.
GGGGAAAGGAAUCAAAAACGAAAGCUAUGUGAGGCACGAAAGGGAAGCAGCCACAGAAAGGGUUCGGUAGCGAGUAGUUGAUCGUGAUUGGGGAACGUCUCCGGGGUCGACGAGGCCGAAGAAACGAGGGGAAAGCAGCGAGGUUGCGCUCUUCCUCAUCGAGCUGCAAGAUGCGAAGAAAAGAGGAGGUNNNNNNNNNNNNNNNNNNNNNNNNNNNNNNNNNNNNGGUGGGAGCUUCGGUGGGGUUUGCUCGACGGAAGGAGAAGAGAAAGGUGCGAGAGCCUGCUUGGUCAUCGGUGGUAACAAGUGAGUGAAUGGGCCUGCUUCAGCAGUUAACCUGUUCUUUCUUCUUUCUCUCUUAUUUAUUUAUUUAUUUAUAUAUUUUUUUUGAAAGUAAUCAAUGGAGGAAAGAGUGAUAUUUGGGUUUGAUGUUUGAAAGGAGAAAGAAGGAAGAAAUCAGUAGGUGUUUUGUUGUUUCAUUCAAUAGGAAGAAGAAGAAGGAAAUCGAGUGUGGUUGUUUUCCCUUUGAUUGACUGACUUCACAAGAACUUUGGGGUGUUCUUGGCUGGAACGAAGGAGAAGAAGAAAGAAGAUGGGAUGUUGGUCACUUGUGUUUCAUUUGACAACUUUAAUUGAGAAAGGAAACACGUUUCCAUUGUGUUUGGAUUUGUCUAAAAAUUGUUUACUUUGUGUGCAGUUUUGGGUGUGUAAGAAUUAAUGGUUGUCAAAUUAGUGUAUCUAUGAAUCUUAUGGAGAGUACACACUCUAUUGUUCUAUCUUUGUAUUGUAUGGGUUGUUUGUGUAUAUAUUUCCAUACAUUGUUGGUCCUUUGGUGAAUAUGUUUAGACAUGUGUAUGUUUUUAUGUAUUUUUGUAACAAUUUCAUAUAUAAUGUAUAUGUAUUCAUUUUAUAGGUUAUAUAUGUGUAUCAUUUU